UACGACGGGGGCUAGCGUUGUUCGGAUUUACUGGGCGUAAAGCGCGUGUAGGCGGAUCGUUAAGUCGGGGGUGAAAGCCCAGAGCUCAACUCUGGAAUUGCCUUCGAUACUGGAGGUCUGGAGCAGAGAAGAGGCGAGUGGAAUUCCGAGUGUAGAGGUGAAAUUCGUAGAUGUUCGGAGGAACACCAGUGGCGAAGGCGGCUCGCUGGUCUCUUGCUGACGCUGAGACGCGAAAGCGUGGGGAGCUAACAGG
Molecule: ribosomal RNA, 253 nt
Filed under: uncultured bacterium
Lineage: Bacteria
Description: partial 16S ribosomal RNA
Rfam family: Bacterial small subunit ribosomal RNA
Source: RNAcentral